UUGGAGGGCAAGUCUGGUGCCAGCAGCCGCGGUAAUUCCAGCUCCAAUAGCGUAUAUUAAAGUUGUUGCAGUUAAAAAGCUCGUAGUUGAACUUCGGGAUCAAUGGAUUGGUCAUGCCGAUGGUGUGUACUGGUCAUAUUGGUUCUCACCUUCUAAGGAACCAUAAUGUCAUUUAUUUGAUGUUGUGGGGAAUUAGGACUGUUACCUUGAAAAAAUUAGAGUGUUUAAAGCAGGCUAACGCUUGAAUACAUUAGCAUGGAAUAAUGAAAUAGGACAUCGCAUUCUAUUUUGUUGGUUUCUAGGAUCGAUGUAAUGAUUAAUAGGGAUAGUUGGGGGCAUUAGUAUUCAAUUGUCAGAGGUGAAAUUCUUGGAUUUAUUGAAGACUAACUACUGCGAAAGCAUUUGCCAAGGAUGUUUUCAUUAAUCAAGAACGAAAGUUAGGGGAUCGAAGACGAUCAGAUACCGUCGUAGUCUUAACCAUAAACUAUGCCGACUAGGGAUCGGAUGAUGUUGAUUUUUUAAUGACUCAUUCGGCGCCUUACGGGAAAC
This 549-nucleotide ribosomal RNA is filed under the name uncultured Glomus. Its description in RNAcentral is "SSU rRNA". It matches the Rfam family "Eukaryotic small subunit ribosomal RNA", at positions 548 to 1098 of the family's 1831-position model. Lineage: Eukaryota; Fungi; Glomeromycota; Glomeromycetes; Glomerales; Glomeraceae. The record is from RNAcentral.